UACCCGCUGAAUUUAAGCAUAUAAGUAAGUGGUGGAAAUUAAACCAAAUGGGAUUCCUUAAGUAAUUGCGAAUGAACAAGGACAUGCUUAGCUUGACAAUUGGAGCCUCUGGCUUCGACUUGUAUUUUUGAAAUGUAUUACCAACAGAGGUGCAGGUGUCAGCCUAUUGAAAGAAAGCGUCAAUGAGGGUGAGAAUCCUGUUUGUCAUGUGCAAUCCUCUGUGCACGGUGUAUGUUUGCUGAGUCACACUCCUUGGCAUUGGAAUGCAAAGUGGGUGGUAAGUUUCAUGUAAAGGUAAAUAUAGGAUUGAGACUGAUAGCACACAAGUACCAUGAGGGAAAUAUGAAAAGGACUUUGAAAAGAGAAUUAAAUGAGUUUGUAUUUGCUGAACAGAAAAUAAACAGAUUUGAUGUUGCUUGGUGAGAUUGUGGUGCUUGCUUGACAAUAGGUUUUGAUUGUGGGUGUGAUGAUUCUUGCUUUGCUUGCCAGUUUCUAUUUGUACAUUUGAUUACCCUUGCACAUGAAUGGUAAUUUUCCUGCGGGGUUUGGAUUGCAUGUGUUUGUGAUGAUUUGUGUUUUGAUACAUGUGUCUGGUGCUUUUGUAAUUGCUCAUUUCUUGAAGCUGGGCCUACCCUACUAGAGCUUACAAGCCCUGGCACACAAUUGCUGGCAAAAUGCUUCUGCUUGACCCGUCUUGAAACACGGACCAAGGAGUCUAACAGAUGUGCAAGCUUGAGGGUUGCAUACCUUUGUGCGCAAUGAAAGUGUUGGCUGGGAUAUUUGCACCAGCAGCCGACCAAUUAGCAGACAGAGGUUCGAGUUGGAGCAUAUCUAUUAGGACCCGAAAGAUGGUGAACUAUGCCUGAACAGAAUGAAUUCAGAGGAAACUCUGAUGGAGGUUCGUAUCGAUACUGACGUGCAAAU
RNAcentral lists this ribosomal RNA (924 nucleotides) under Alexandrium affine. Its description in RNAcentral is "eukaryotic LSU rRNA". It matches the Rfam family "Eukaryotic large subunit ribosomal RNA", at positions 22 to 898 of the family's 3401-position model. The record is from RNAcentral. Lineage: Eukaryota; Dinophyceae; Gonyaulacales; Pyrocystaceae.